This 247-nucleotide ribosomal RNA is filed under the name uncultured bacterium. RNAcentral describes it as "partial 16S ribosomal RNA". It matches the Rfam family "Bacterial small subunit ribosomal RNA", at positions 523 to 769 of the family's 1533-position model. The record is from RNAcentral.
AUACGUAGGUGGCAAGCGUUGUCCGGAUUUACUGGGCGUAAAGAGUAUGUAGGCGGAUAUUUAAGUCAGGGGUGAAAUCCCGGGGCUCAACCUCGGAACUGCCUUUGAUACUGGGUGUCUAGAGUGUGGAAGAGGUAAGUGGAAUUCCGAGUGUAGAGGUGAAAUUCGUAGAUAUUAGGAAGAACACCAGUGGCGAAGGCGACUUACUGGACUGAAACUGACGCUGAGGCUCGAAAGCGUGGGGAGC